UGCAACAGUUGCAGCCGCCCCAUUGCUUAUCUGGAGUUGCAGCCAGGGGUCUACGCUAGCAAUAUCAAUUAGCAUAUGUUUCCUAUGAUGCUACCCAAUAAACUACUGUCGCAUUGGCCCAAUGUUCAAGCCCCUAUGAUGAGAGCCAUGUAACAAGGAUUUUCAACUUCCAAUGAAAGCUAACAAUGUGAAGCAAUGGAGGAUUAUGUCUAAUAAACAAGCAAAGGUGGAAGAAAUCAAAUCCAGAUUCGACUUACUUUUAAAUCGACCCGCUCGAUUUCACUCAAUUCUUUGUAAAUACAUGGUGUGUCCUCUUCUUGAAGUAUAAAUUGAUGAGUUGUAAUCAUGUUAUGUCGAGGAUGAAUGAGUGUCAUAUAUCUAUUCCAUUAUCCAAACACAAUAGAUUGUGAACGAGUGAAGUUUCUUUACAUGGAAGUAA
Molecule: long non-coding RNA, 439 nt
Organism: Triticum aestivum (bread wheat)
Lineage: Eukaryota; Viridiplantae; Streptophyta; Magnoliopsida; Poales; Poaceae
Exons: 2
Source: RefSeq, a predicted model, not a curated record